RNAcentral lists this long non-coding RNA (1612 nucleotides) under Homo sapiens (human). Its description in RNAcentral is "HSALNT0137514". Lineage: Eukaryota; Metazoa; Chordata; Mammalia; Primates; Hominidae. The record is from RNAcentral.
UUUAUGCCUUUGAGGAACUUGAACACUACAAGGAAGACAGUCCUGUCUCCACCCAGCAGGCCCCACAGUGAGGUGGGAUUAUGUGGCAGGUAGGGUGAGCUCAGUGUCCAAAACCUGCUGUCACCAGCAGGGAGAACUUGGGUCAACUUCUCAGCCAUUCUAAACUCCAGUUACCCACUGAAAAACGGGAUAACAAUCCAACUAAAUUCAGUUUUAUGAUGAGAAUCAAGUAAGAUCAACUAUCUCAAGAGAUGGAGCUCACCAGGUGCCUCUACUAAUCCUUUCAGAACCUGAAGCGAGCAUAGGCUCUACAGAGUCUAGGAUUUUUUUACCUUAAAAAACAGAGAGACAAAGAUGUGCUUAAUAAUGUAGACCUAAAAAGUGUGACUGUACUGCUUUUUCAGGGGAAAAUGAUGUGAUUCUGUGCCUUAGGGUUAGUGAAUGCUGGUUGAAUACAGAGAAAUAACCUGAGAACAUUUCAGGAUCCCAGAUCUGAUCCACUAUUAAAGGGAAGGAGGGUUGGAAGCAUGCUGCCUUUGAGGUGUUCCCCUCCUCACCUUCUUGGGAAUCUCAGCCAUGUGCCUACGGUAAUGACAUCCUGGUUUCCUCCAGUCUUGUGGGAAGAGAUUGUAGAGAAUUUCCUGCUGAGGGAAAUGAAAAGCCUAUAGCAUUGAGAUUCUUUCUCAGAAAUCCAGAAAAGAAAAAAGAGAAACUCAUACAUGAUGGUGGACUUUGAGCCCAGAUGGCUUGGAUUUGAAUCCCAGCUUGGACACUUACUAGCUGUGCAAUGAAGAAGUGAAAACUCAUGGGCCUAACAUCUUCCUGUGUAAGUGCUUGGACUCACUGGAACAGAUGGCUGGUGCUGUAACGGUUGGUGCUCUAUUAAUUUGCUCUUUCUACUCUUCUGGGAACACCCACUCAUGUGCCUGUCAGAAGCUGGGUCACCCUUCUGGGCUGAGUUCAUAUGACAUGUGCCCUGGAACCUUCCAAUCUGUGCUCCUGUGGCAUUUUGGACUUUGCUCACUAAAGUGCUGGUUACAAGGUUUUGCAAUUAACCAGAUAUGGACCCUGAGCUCUAUAAGAGCCCACAUCUCCAUGUGAUUUGUUGUAUGCUCCGUGACUUUCUCUUGAAGGAAUGAAUUGGAUUUUGCUUUGGUUUGAGCAAGUAGGGAAGUCAAGAAGGAAUGGACUUAAAACUUCAGAAGGGCCCAGACUGAGAAAACAUUUGACAGUGGAGAGCUUACUUCCGGUUUAUACUGAAGUAAGUAGCAGAAUGGGAAGAGAAAAAAGAGCAGGAUAUUUCUAGGAAAGCUUUUUAAAAUCCUUCUGUUCCUUAUAUCAUAGAUUUUUUCCCACAGACUUAGCAAAUAUUCACCAUGUGCCCACAACGAGCCAGGGACUGUGGAAGGUUCUGGAAAUGCAUUGAUGAACAAGAUAGCCAAGAUCCCUGACCAUAUUCAAUCAGUCUUUUGCCCUGCUCUACACAUAGAUGUAUUGUAUCCUCUUGUAAUCUGGUUCGACGCUAGGCAUAUUUCUCCAGAUUUAAGUAAAUAAAACUGCAACAUGACUGAAUCUUUCAUUUGGUCUUUGGCGCCUGCAGCAGAAUCUCUUG